Molecule: ribosomal RNA, 496 nt
Filed under: uncultured bacterium
Lineage: Bacteria
Description: partial 16S ribosomal RNA
Rfam family: Bacterial small subunit ribosomal RNA
Source: RNAcentral
GAUGAACGCUGGCGGCGUGCCUAAUACAUGCAAGUCGAGCGAACGGACGAGAAGCUUGCUUCUCUGAUGUUAGCGGCGGACGGGUGAGUAACACGUGGAUAACCUACCUAUAGGACUGGGAUAACUUCGGGAAACCGGAGCUAUACCGGAUAAUAUUUUGAACCGCAUGGUUCAAAAGUGAAAGACGGUCUUGCUGUCACUUAUAGAUGGAUCCGCGCUGCAUUAGCUAGUUGGUAAGGUAACGGCUUACCAAGGCAACGAUGCAUAGCCGACCUGAGAGGGUGAUCGGCCACACUGGAACUGAGACACGGUCCAGACUCCUACGGGAGGCAGCAGUAGGGAAUCUUCCGCAAUGGGCGAAAGCCUGACGGAGCAACGCCGCGUGAGUGAUGAAGGUCUUCGGAUCGUAAAACUCUGUUAUUAGGGAAGAACAUAUGUGUAAGUAACUGUGCACAUCUUGACGGUACCUAAUCAGAAAGCCACGGCUAACUACGUG